AAGUUUAGAAUGGUUUCCCUAAACUCUCGAUCACGUCGGGAAUCUAGUCUUUGGAUGUCACCGAGCACCGUCAUUGUCGCUCAUGCUUUUUCUCAGAGAGUUGAUAUGUCCAGUGCACAUGAUCUUUGGUUAUUUCAGCCCUGCCAUUUUUACAAUGGCUGCAGUAUGAUUUUGCUUCAAUGUACAUGAGAGCCCGACUGUUGCCGUGAAGAUUUGCAUUGUCAAGGUUUGACUUUAAAAAACGCAGCUCUCCUACUUUAUUCCCAACUUCAGGACUCGCCUGCAUGCAGUAUUUAGGUUUUGUUGCACACCCAGAGGAGUGUUAGAGAACGGUACAUUUGUAGUUAUUCUUAAAUUUGAGGAUGCACUUAAUUACACUGUUUUCAAUGAAACAUGGGAUUCUGAUGCUUUCGACAUCAGUGGCUUUUAUCGUGGUCAGCUGAUAGGCUUUAGAACUACCACUGGUUAAUUAAGUAUCCUGUACAAUAUAUUUGCUGCGCGUUCAAGGACCAUCUUCCAUGAGCAUAUCAUCAGAUCAACUGCUUCGACCUGUGGAUAUCCUUCAUUGGCAGUGAAUAAAACAUGCUUGCAAAUGCUCAGGUCAUUAUAGUAAUUAGCCAAAGGAUUAAGAUAUUAAUCACCAGGUGUUGACAUAAUGUGCUUUGUACACAUAACAAAGGAUGCUUGUUCAGAGAUGACAGCAAUUAACAUUGAAACUGUUAUUGAUGAGGUAGUAUAUCGCGCAAAUAUUGACAUGGUAAUUGAUGACUUAGUUUUGGUAUUGAUUACCAAUAGGCUAUUGAGAGCACUCGCAUGGAAGCUACAAGGAAGAAUGUAGGUUUUCCAUGUAGCCUAGUAAUUCAGGAAUCAUUGUGUUUCAAACUAUGCAUCAACCAGUCAAAGCAAUGUUGUCUGGAACUGGGAUAAACGUGGAUAUAUGUCAAUUCCUCAACAACGAACUUGGCCACAGAGUUCUUAAAAUGUCAAGCAGAUGUUUACUUCAUACAUUGCUACGAAGCAAGUAAGAGACUCUGUUAUUGACACUACCAUGAACUAUUCAGCAAGGACGCUUGAGUGGACAGGAGAAUAAAUAUUGUCGGGUAUGAAAGCAGUACAGUCUUGGUGUAGAUAAUUUGGAAUGAUUUUGGAAAGCCUUUUUCUCCUUGAAUUAUUUGUGUUCCAAAGGAAAGUGUUAUUGUUGUCUGAGUCUUCUUUUUUCCUUGAUUUCUUUUCACUUUAUUUAGCAGGACCAUUCUAAUUGAGACUACUGUAGGAUCUAUAUUUGGAAAAAGGUUAUUUUUUUGUUUUUCAACAAUUACCAAGAAAAAGCGUUAUACCAUUUCCUACAUCUGGUCUAGCAUGAAUUCAUUUCUCCUGUUGGCUACAUGUCAUGUACGUGUAGGGUUAUGAUGAUGAUGCCUUAUUGGGACCCCACAUACUUGGUAAUUGAAGUGACAACCUAUGAAUACAAUUAUUGCAUCACAGCGUAAAAUGCAAUCUUAAUUACUUCUGGACUCAUCAUGGAUAUUAGACUAUUUGACAUCCCUACUGGAUUGGUUGGCUAAAACUAAUUCAAGAUUCUAAGAAUCCAUGAAUUUCAUCAUCUCUACAUGCUACAGUGUAAAUGCUGAAUAGCGGGUUUAAAACACCAGACACUUUCAGUCUAUUUUGGAAACAUAUCGAAGGAAGUCAAGAUCAAAGUUCUCACUCUUUAUCAGAUGUAGGAACUGAGUAUCAGGGUUCAAGGAUGUCAGUGUCGCUUGUAUUCCAUUUUUGACGCUGGUGACUUCAUUCAAUCCAUUGCGUACUGGAGAAGGGUGUGUCCUGUUGGAUGUCUAUUGGGAUUUGCAGUCUCGUGAGUGAAUGGGUUAAUGUGUAAAGAGGUUGGGUCUGUAUGAACAAUAAUAAAAUUUGAUCAGAGACAUCAUUUGACCACCUUGGCAUCACCAUUGCCAAUAAGUUUGUGGAUCCAAGCGAGAUCAUUGUGAUUCAUGUGCAAGGAAUAGGGUGUGGAGUGCAUUAUGCUCGUUUUUUCAUGGAACGCUGAUAUCGACUUUACUGGCCACUUUGAUAGAGUUAAGUGAGGCUGUCAGUUAUAUGUUGGCAGUGGAUAAAGUGGUGCGGAUCAUAAUAGAAAUUGUCGUGGAGAACCUACACACACAUAAACUUUUGAUCUAUGAGAUGAUGAAGCCUUCUCAAAUGUGAAACUUUAAACGCUUGAAUUAGAUAAAUACUAAAAUUGAAGCAAGUUAAGUACUGGAUAUUAUAGUGGAAUAUAUACACACUCUUCAAGUGCUGAAAACAGCUAUGGGCAUGUGUUGAGGAAUAUGCAGGGUUGUUGAAGCUUUCUGUUGGAAUUGGAGACCUUUAUUAACAUGUUUUGACUAUCAAAAGACUUUAAAGGAUACAAAGAUGGCUCAACGAUCAAUGUUGAAAAAGAUUGGUGAGAUGGAGAGACAGAGGUGUAUGUCAUGGAGUUCUCCAGGUUCUGUGGCGUCACUUGCAGCAUUGAGGGGGAAAAGACUCCGCAAGUAUUCUGAGACGGAUGCAUCCACGGAGAGACUCUCUAGCUCUAUCAGAUCGGAAAGUGGGUCUAGUCAACUCUAUACCAAGGUAACUAGUUAACUCGCCCCCCUAAAAAAAGAAGUAUCAUGCUCAAGAAGUCAAGAUGUAUACAUCUAUAGGCACAAUAUUCCAAUGUCCUGGGUCCAACCGCAGUACUCGCAUCCUUUGGCAAGGCAUGAAUCUACAUUUGCCGCUCUCCACCCAGGUAUACCAAAUUGGUACCCGGUAGAAAGAAAAUCCUUGAAUUCUCGAGCACCUGAUAAGAGUAGCUGUGGUAAAGCCGGGGUAUUAGUAUACAAUGCUAAUAAACACAUUAUUAAGUGCUAUAUAAAUGUUGCAUAUUAUUUUGAUUUGUUUUUUUUUUACUUGAUUUGGAGAAGAGCUAGACUUGUUGGGCUGUCUUAAAUGAUGCUCAUCAAUCUUCACACUCUCUUCUCUCAAACUCUUGAGAAAUAACUGCAAGAAAUAACUUUUUGGGCUGGAAAUAGGAUUAUCAUAUCACUUCAUGCUCUAAAUUCUAACAUCUACCUUCCACCUGCAUUGGAUCAAAAUAUUUUCAUUCAUUUCUUGACAGUGGAAUCAUAAAAGCAGACAAAAUCAUGCAAAACGUCAUGUCAACAGGGAUAUUUUUAGCGUGCAAAUAGUGGAUACAUGAUUUUCUACUGCAUACAGCUAGUUAGGAUGCAAGGCAAGCGAGAAAAACAAGUUAAACCAUGGAUUUCCCCAUAUGAUUCAUAGAUGGGAGUCUUUCCUCUUUGGGGGGUGGAUAGAACAUUGUGGAAAUAAACCUCUGUGGUGUGAAUCUUCUAGGUAUUAAAGGCAGCUACGAAAGAAAGUGAUACUGAGGAAGAAAGAAAUAUAUUUAGAGAGACAGGCAGAAAAAUGAAAAGCAAGUGAAGGAAGGGAGUUAAUGAAAGUAACGCUAGAGUGAAAGAGAGGAGAGAAAUAAAUACGAAAAAUAUAAAAGGAGAGAAGGGGAAUAAAUUCUAAAGAGAAAUAUUGAUGAAAAAGAACAGAUUGGGAGUGUGUGAAAGAGAGAG
Long non-coding RNA from Lytechinus pictus (painted urchin), 3605 nucleotides. RefSeq lists it as uncharacterized. The transcript is spliced from 3 exons. Lineage: Eukaryota; Metazoa; Echinodermata; Echinoidea; Temnopleuroida; Toxopneustidae. The record is from RefSeq and is a predicted model, not a curated record.